Molecule: long non-coding RNA, 369 nt
Organism: Gossypium arboreum
Lineage: Eukaryota; Viridiplantae; Streptophyta; Magnoliopsida; Malvales; Malvaceae
Exons: 2
Source: RefSeq, a predicted model, not a curated record
UUGUGUUUUAAAAAAAAGGGCUUCUUCUUCUCUCUUUUCUCUGGAUUUGCCCAAAAGCCGGUGACCUCCCCGACCAGUCACCGCCGUAGUCCGCCGCUGGCACCGUCGCUGGCGACCGCCAUGUCGGAGGUAAAUGGGCGCUGCUAGUGUCAGACAGUGGCGGUGGACGUGACAGGCGGUGGCAGACCUGGCAUGGGCGGUCAAGCUAGGGUUUCUUCUUUUUGUUUUUGUUUGAGGUAUUGGGCUAGGGUUUGGGUUUUGAUUUGUUUGGGCUAGAGCUGUAAUGGGUUUUGGGCCCAGUCAAAUUUGGGCCGGUACAAUAAUUAUAGGAUAAAUUACAUCAAUAAUAAUAUCAAUAUUAGUAUGUCA